GCAAUGCCGCGUGGUGUGAAGAAGGCCUGAGGGUUGUAAAGCACUUUCGGUGGGGAGAACGAGGCUGUUGCUAAUAUCAACGGCGGAAGAUGUUACCCACAGAAGAAGCACCGGCUAACUCUGUGCC
This 127-nucleotide ribosomal RNA is filed under the name uncultured bacterium. RNAcentral describes it as "partial 16S ribosomal RNA". It matches the Rfam family "Bacterial small subunit ribosomal RNA", at positions 391 to 509 of the family's 1533-position model. The record is from RNAcentral.